Xanthomonas campestris pv. campestris is the source of this 75-nucleotide small RNA. It matches the Rfam family "Xanthomonas sRNA sX9". The record is from Rfam. NCBI's taxonomy places the organism in Bacteria, Pseudomonadati, Pseudomonadota, Gammaproteobacteria, Lysobacterales, Lysobacteraceae.
AUGUACGCCGGUACACUCCGGUUCCUCCGCGCCGUCCGCAUCCACCUGACGACUGCUCGCUACGUUUUGUUAGCC